This 825-nucleotide ribosomal RNA is filed under the name uncultured bacterium. Its description in RNAcentral is "bacterial SSU rRNA". It matches the Rfam family "Bacterial small subunit ribosomal RNA", at positions 61 to 841 of the family's 1533-position model. The record is from RNAcentral.
GUCGAACGCGUCUCCAUUAAUGAUUUUAGGUGCUUGCAUUUGACAGAUUUAACAUUGAGACGAGUGGCGAACUGGUGAGUAACACGUGGGUAACCUGCCCUUGAAGUAGGGGAUAACACUUGGAAACAGGUGCUAAUACCGUAUAACAACCAAAACCACCUGGUUUUGGUUUAAAAGACGGCUUCGGCUGUCACUUUAGGAUGGACCCGCGGCGUAUUAGCUUGUUGGUAAGGUAACGGCCUACCAAGGCGAUGAUACGUAGCCGACCUGAGAGGGUAAUCGGCCACAUUGGGACUGAGACACGGCCCAAACUCCUACGGGAGGCAGCAGUAGGGAAUCUUCCACAAUGGACGAAAGUCUGAUGGAGCAACGCCGCGUGAGUGAUGAAGGGUUUCGGCUCGUAAAACUCUGUUGUUGGAGAAGAACAGGUGUCAGAGUAACUGUUGACAUCUUGACGGUAUCCAACCAGAAAGCCACGGCUAACUACGUGCCAGCAGCCGCGGUAAUACGUAGGUGGCAAGCGUUGUCCGGAUUUAUUGGGCGUAAAGGGAACGCAGGCGGUCUUUUAAGUCUGAUGUGAAAGCCUUCUGCUUAACCGAAGUCGGGCAUUGGAAACUGGGAGACUUGAGUGCAGAAGAGGAGAGUGGAACUCCAUGUGUAGCGGUGAAAUGCGUAGAUAUAUGGAAGAACACCAGUGGCGAAAGCGGCUCUCUGGUCUGUAACUGACGCUGAGGUUCGAAAGCGUGGGUAGCAAACAGGAUUAGAUACCCUGGUAGUCCACGCCGUAAACGAUGAAUGCUAAGUGUUGGAGGGUUUCCGCCCUUC